UAACACAUGCAAGUCGAACGAGCGAGAGAGAGCUUGCUUUCUCAAGCGAGUGGCGAACGGGUGAGUAACGCGUGAGGAACCUGCCUCAAAGAGGGGGACAACAGUUGGAAACGACUGCUAAUACCGCAUAAGCCCACGACCCGGCAUCGGGUAGAGGGAAAAGGAGCAAUCCGCUUUGAGAUGGCCUCGCGUCCGAUUAGCUAGUUGGUGAGGUAACGGCCCACCAAGGCGACGAUCGGUAGCCGGACUGAGAGGUUGAACGGCCACAUUGGGACUGAGACACGGCCCAGACUCCUACGGGAGGCAGCAGUGGGGAAUAUUGCACAAUGGGGGAAACCCUGAUGCAGCGACGCCGCGUGGAGGAAGAAGGUCUUCGGAUUGUAAACUCCUGUUGUUGAGGAAGAUAAUGACGGUACUCAACAAGGAAGUGACGGCUAACUACGUGCCAGCAGCCGCGGUAAAACGUAGGUCACAAGCGUUGUCCGGAAUUACUGGGUGUAAAGGGAGCGCAGGCGGGAAGACAAGUUGGAAGUGAAAUCCAUGGGCUCAACCCAUGAACUGCUUUCAAAACUGUUUUUCUUGAGUAGUGCAGAGGUAGGCGGAAUUCCCGGUGUAGCGGUGGAAUGCGUAGAUAUCGGGAGGAACACCAGUGGCGAAGGCGGCCUACUGGGCACCAACUGACGCU
This 685-nucleotide ribosomal RNA is filed under the name uncultured Lachnospiraceae bacterium. RNAcentral's name for it is "bacterial SSU rRNA". It matches the Rfam family "Bacterial small subunit ribosomal RNA", at positions 49 to 747 of the family's 1533-position model. The record is from RNAcentral. Lineage: Bacteria; Bacillati; Bacillota; Clostridia; Lachnospirales; Lachnospiraceae.